GUAACAAGGUUUCCGUAGGUGAACCUGCGGAAGGAUCAUUACAAGUUGACCGCCUGUUGGACUCCGCGGCCCGAUCCUGCUGCCGGAGGCCGACUCCACCCUUGACUACGAGCACCAUUUGUUGUUCCCUCGGCGGGCUCGCACCCGCCGACGGGCACCCACCAAACCCGUUUGCAGUAGACGUACACCUCUGAUCGUGGGCACUUGAAUCUUUACAACUUUCAACAACGGAUCUCUUGGUUCUGGCAUCGAUGAAGAACGCAGCGAAAUGCGAUAAGUAGUGUGAAUUGCAGAAUUCAGUGAAUCAUCGAAUCUUUGAACGCACAUUGCGCCCCUUGGUACUCCAUGGGGCAUGCCUGUUCGAGCGUCAUUACACCCCUCAAGCUCUGCUUGGUGUUGGGCCCCUGUCGGCGCGCCGACUGGCCCCAAAUGCUUCGGCAGCCCCCUCGCCGGGCCUCCCAGCGCAGCAGAGUGCGCGUGGCGAGCCGGAGAGGGCGGCCGCUCCUUCGGAAGAAACCUCCCCAACGUUUGACCUCGGAUCAGGUAGGGAUACCCGCUGAACUUAAGCAUAUCA
RNAcentral lists this ribosomal RNA (574 nucleotides) under Multilocularia bambusae. RNAcentral describes it as "eukaryotic LSU rRNA". The stretch from base 217 to 370 matches the Rfam family "5.8S ribosomal RNA". The record is from RNAcentral. Lineage: Eukaryota; Fungi; Ascomycota; Dothideomycetes; Pleosporales; Parabambusicolaceae.